RNAcentral lists this transfer RNA (69 nucleotides) under Ligilactobacillus saerimneri. It matches the Rfam family "tRNA". From Rfam's summary of the family: Transfer RNA (tRNA) molecules are approximately 80 nucleotides in length. RNAcentral also lists the same sequence under 1 other name. The record is from RNAcentral. Lineage: Bacteria; Bacillati; Bacillota; Bacilli; Lactobacillales; Lactobacillaceae.
CGGAAAUAGUUCAGAGGUAGAACAUCACCUUGCCAUGGUGGGGGUCGCGGGUUCGAAUCCCGUUUUCCG